This 527-nucleotide ribosomal RNA is filed under the name uncultured bacterium. Its description in RNAcentral is "bacterial SSU rRNA". It matches the Rfam family "Bacterial small subunit ribosomal RNA", at positions 981 to 1509 of the family's 1533-position model. The record is from RNAcentral.
UUGACAUCCAGAGAACUUAGCAGAGAUGCUUUGUGGCCUUCGGGAACUCUGAGACAGGUGCUGCAUGGCUGUCGUCAGCUCGUGUUGUGAAAUGUUGGGUUAAGUCCGCAACGAGCGCAACCCUUAUCCUUUGUUGCCAGCGGUUCGGCCGGGAACUCAAAGGAGACUGCCGGUGAUAAACCGGAGGAAGGUGGGGAUGACGUCAAGUCAUCAUGGCCCUUACGGCCAGGGCUACACACGUGCUACAAUGGCGCAUACAAAGAGAAGCGACCUCGCGAGAGCAAGCGGACCUCAUAAAGUGCGUCGUAGUCCGGAUUGGAGUCUGCAACUCGACUCCAUGAAGUCGGAAUCGCUAGUAAUCGUAGAUCAGAAUGCUACGGUGAAUACGUUCCCGGGCCUUGUACACACCGCCCGUCACACCAUGGGAGUGGGUUGCAAAAGAAGUAGGUAGCUUAACCUCCGGGAGGGCGCUUACCACUUUGUGAUUCAUGACUGGGGUGAAGUCGUAACAAGGUAGGCGUAGACGU